AGUGAACGCUGGCGGUAGGCCUAACACAUGCAAGUCGAACGGCAGCACAGGAGAGCUUGCUCUCUGGGUGGCGAGUGGCGGACGGGUGAGGAAUACAUCGGAAUCUACUCUGUCGUGGGGGAUAACGUAGGGAAACUUACGCUAAUACCGCAUACGACCUACGGGUGAACGCAGGGGCUCUUCGGGCCUUGAGCGAUUGAAUGAGCCGAUGUCGGAUUAGCUAGUUGGCGGGGUAAAGGCCCACCAAGGCGACGAUCAGUAGCUGGUCUGAGAGGAUGAUCAGCCACACUGGAACUGAGACACGGUCCAGACUCCUACGGGAGGCAGCAGUGGGGAAUAUUGGACAAUGGGCGCAAGCCUGAUCCAGCCAUACCGCGUGGGUGAAGAAGGCCUUCGGGUUGUAAAGCCCUUUUGUUGGGAAAGAAAUCCAGCUGGCUAAUACCCGGUUGGGAUGACGGUACCCAAAGAAUAAGCACCGGCUAACUUCGUGCCAGCCGCCGCAGUAA
Molecule: ribosomal RNA, 506 nt
Filed under: uncultured bacterium
Lineage: Bacteria
Description: partial 16S ribosomal RNA
Rfam family: Bacterial small subunit ribosomal RNA
Source: RNAcentral